AAUCACAGGGCUAAGAUAUAUUUUAUUAGUCCCUGUUAUAGUCCAGGAAUGGGUAGGCAACCCUGGUGGGUUGGAUUUAGCCAAUCACAGGGCUAAGAUAUAUUUUAUUAGUCCCUGUUAUAGUCCAGGAAUGGGUAGGCAACCCUGGUGGGUUGGAUUUAGCCAAUCACAGGGCUAAGAUAUAUUUUAUUAGUCCCUGUUAUAGUCCAGGAAUGGGUAGGCAACCCUGGUGGGUUGGAUUUAGCCAAUCACAGGGCUAAGAUAUAUUUUAUUAGUCCCUGUUAUAGUCCAGGAAUGGGUAGGCAACCCUGGUGGGUUGGAUUUAGCCAAUCACAGGGCUAAGAUAUAUUUUAUUAGUCCCUGUUAUAGUCCAGGAACAGGGUUACCUUCCCCUCUUAUAUGUACAGAAGAGAAUGUGAGGUAUAAAAAUAAUAUAUAAAAUAAUACCAGUUUUAUUUUUUAUAUUUUUCAUCCUGUAAAUAAAAAUCCUUUAUUUUAAUUCUUUACGAUACUAUUGUCCUGUGACACCAAAAGUCUGAAUGUGAUUUAAUAGUGGGGCGGCAGGUAGUCUGGUGGUUAGAGGAGGGAGGUAGUCUAGUGGUUAGAGGAGACAGGUAGCCUAGUGGUUAGAGGAGGCAGGUAGCCUAGUGGUUAGAGGAGACAGGUAGCCUAGUGGUUAGAGGAGGCAGGUAGCCUAGUGGUUAGAGGAGGCAGGUAGCCUAGUGGUUAGAGGAGGCAGGUAGCCUAGUGGUUAGAGGAGGCAGGUAGCCUAGUGGUUAGAGGAGGCAGGUAGCCUGGUGGUUAGAGGAGGCAGGUAGCCUGGUGGUUAGAGGAGGCAGGUAGCCUAGUGGUUAGAGGAGACAGGUAGCCUGGUGGUUAGAGGAGGCAGGUAGCCUAGUGGUUAGAGGAGGCAGGUAGCCUAGUGGUUAGAGGAGGCAGGUAGCCUGGUGGUUAGAGGAGGCAGGUAGCCUAGUGGUUAGAGGAGGCAGGUAGCCUGGUGGUUAGAGGAGGCAGGUAGCCUGGUGGUUAGAGGAGGCAGGUAGCCUGGUGGUUAGAGGAGGCAGGUAGCCUGGUGGUUAGAGGAGGCAGGUAGCCUAGUGGUUAGAGGAGGCAGGUAGCCUGGUGGUUAGAGGAGGCAGGUAGCCUGGUGGUUAGAGGAGACAGGUAGCCUGGUGGUUAGAGGAGGCAGGUAGCCUGGUGGUUAGAGGAGGCAGGUAGCCUGGUGGUUAGAGGAGGCAGGUAGCCUGGUGGUUAGAGGAGGCAGGUAGCCUGGUGGUUAGAGGAGGCAGGUAGCCUAGUGGUUAGAGGAGGCAGGUAGCCUGGUGGUUAGAGGAGGCAGGUAGCCUAGUGGUUAGAGGAGGCAGGUAGCCUAGUGGUUAGAGGAGGCAGGUAGCCUAGUGGUUAGAGGAGGCAGGUAGCCUAGUGGUUAGAGGAGGCAGGUAGCCUAGUGGUUAGAGGAGGCAGGUAGCCUAGUGGUUAGAGGAGGCAGGUAGCCUAGUGGUUAGAGGAGGCAGGUAGCCUGGUGGUUAGAGCGUUGGACGAGAAAUCGAAAGGUUGCAAAAUCAAAUCCCCGAGCUGACAAGGUAAAAACCUGUCAUUCUGCCCCUGAACAAGGCAGUUAACCCACUGUUCCUAGGCCGACAUUGUAAAUAAGAAUUUGUUCUUAACUGACUCGCCUGGUUAAAUAAAAAGGUACAAAUAAAUAAAUAUGAAU
This is a long non-coding RNA of Oncorhynchus keta (chum salmon), 1714 nucleotides long. RefSeq lists it as uncharacterized. The record is from RefSeq and is a predicted model, not a curated record. The transcript has 5 exons. NCBI's taxonomy places the organism in Eukaryota, Metazoa, Chordata, Actinopteri, Salmoniformes, Salmonidae.